Molecule: long non-coding RNA, 671 nt
Organism: Oncorhynchus tshawytscha (Chinook salmon)
Lineage: Eukaryota; Metazoa; Chordata; Actinopteri; Salmoniformes; Salmonidae
Source: Ensembl
CAUAACCGGAUAUCCAUAGCAAAAAGGAAGAAAGGCAUAACCGGAUAUCCAUAGCAAAAAAGGAAGAAAGGCAUAACCGGAUAUCCAUAGCAAAAAAGGAAGAAAGGCAUAACCACAUAUCCAUAGCAAAAAAGAAGAAAGGCAUAACCGGAUAUCCAUAGCAAAAAGGAAGAAAGGCAUAACCACAUAUCCAUAGCAAAAAAGAAGAAAGGCAUAACCGGAUAUCCAUAGCAAAAAAGAAGAAAGGCAUAACCGGAUAUCCCAAGUCCAUUCAACAUACAUACGUAAUGUAAGCGCGCACCGGACACAGAUCAUGUAACAUCUGUUGCUCUUCACAAGCAAUGAGUAGGUGAAAAGGGAAAUAGCAAAAAAGCUAAGGGGGAAAAAACUGUAUAGAUUAGCAUAAAUUUCAAGCUGGUUCAUGCUGGUCUAUGUUGGUCAGUGCCAGUUGGAUGCUGGUCAAGCUGGUCUGACCAGUAUGGUCUAGCUGGUAAUGCUGACAGACCAAGCUGGUCUUUGUUGUAAAAAAAAAAUUGUGCCAACCGUUAGUGGAAGUGUUGUACCAGUUGAUGUGGUUUUAUCAUUAUGUUGAUGUAGAUUGAGCACCUUGUUUGUCCACUCCCAGUUAUACAGUCUUUGUAAGAGGUUGUGACAAUCAAGAGCUUCACUGU